CAGUCGAGCGGACAGAAGGGAGCUUGCUCCCGGAUGUUAGCGGCGGACGGGUGAGUAACACGUGGGUAACCUGCCUGUAAGACUGGGAUAACUCCGGGAAACCGGAGCUAAUACCGGAUAGUUCCUUGAACCGCAUGGUUCAAGGAUGAAAGACGGUUUCGGCUGUCACUUACAGAUGGACCCGCGGCGCAUUAGCUAGUUGGUGAGGUAACGGCUCACCAAGGCGACGAUGCGUAGCCGACCUGAGAGGGUGAUCGGCCACACUGGGACUGAAACACGGCCCAGACUCCUACGGGAGGCAGCAGUAGGGAAUCUUCCGCAAUGGACGAAAGUCUGACGGAGCAACGCCGCGUGAGUGAUGAAGGUUUUCGGAUCGUAAAGCUCUGUUGUUAGGGAAGAACAAGUGCAAGAGUAACUGCUUGCACCUUGACGGUACCUAACCAGAAAGCCACGGCUAACUACGUGCCAGCAGCCGCGGUAAUACGUAGGUGGCAAGCGUUGUCCGGAAUUAUUGGGCGUAAAGGGCUCGCAGGCGGUUUCUUAAGUCUGAUGUGAAAGCCCCCGGCUCAACCGGGGAGGGUCAUUGGAAACUGGGAAACUUGAGUGCAGAAGAGGAGAGUGGAAUUC
This 627-nucleotide ribosomal RNA is filed under the name Bacillus sp. Y691. Its description in RNAcentral is "bacterial SSU rRNA". It matches the Rfam family "Bacterial small subunit ribosomal RNA", at positions 59 to 669 of the family's 1533-position model. The record is from RNAcentral. Lineage: Bacteria; Bacillati; Bacillota; Bacilli; Caryophanales; Bacillaceae.